Long non-coding RNA from Sceloporus undulatus (fence lizard), 775 nucleotides. RefSeq lists it as uncharacterized. NCBI's taxonomy places the organism in Eukaryota, Metazoa, Chordata, Lepidosauria, Squamata, Phrynosomatidae. The transcript is spliced from 3 exons. The record is from RefSeq and is a predicted model, not a curated record.
UGCAGCUGUUCUGAAAAAUGCUGAACCAAUCUCACUGCUUUUGUAUCUGUCAUAGGCAACUUCCUUAGCUAAGGAGAUAUCAAGCAGUUAGCUCAGUGAAAUUGCUCUUUCUUAGCUGAAGGUCCCUGUCCGCUAAGAAGGAAUACAUCAAGCCUGUCUUUUCCAUAGCUUCCAUGCACAGAAGGAUAAACAGAAAGAAACAUUUAGGUUUCAAUUUAUUACAUCGCCGGGUGUAUUAAACUCACUGAACGCAAAAUGGAAUGUACAUGUGGCAAAUAUUUCUGAGUCCAUGCUGGUGAUUAAUCUUCAGAGGUCUAAAAGAAGAGGAGGAAAGAAGAGCACCUUGAUGUCAUGAUCACUUCAACCAAGAGAAGCACAUGUUAUCUACCAUGAAUAUCUGAAUCUUUAAACAGAUUUCUUAGAAAUGAAAUACUUCGCCUAGGAUCAAAAAUGUUUGCCAACAUUCGUGAAUGGAAUAAUACUAUGUAAAUGAAUACUUCUUCUUCAAUAUAAGGCAUAUAAAAGAUUUGUUUCAGCACAUCACAGGUGAUAGAUGUGAACUGUCUAUAGUCCUACCACACCAAUUCAUUCAUGUGGGCCUAAAUCCAAAUGCUGGUCUCAACUAGACAGGUUUUGCCCAAGUACUGCCUUACUAUUCAGCAAUUGGUGAACUGGGUUUCCUUUAACUGGGAACAAGCAAUUGGAUUCAGGUCAUGGGUUUUUAAAAUAACAAUGUACAAAUAGAUCCAACUUUCUUCCUUUCUUUUAGGUUUAC